This 191-nucleotide ribosomal RNA is filed under the name uncultured methanogenic archaeon. Its description in RNAcentral is "partial 16S ribosomal RNA". It matches the Rfam family "Bacterial small subunit ribosomal RNA", at positions 335 to 525 of the family's 1533-position model. The record is from RNAcentral. Lineage: Archaea; Methanobacteriati; Methanobacteriota.
GGCCUACGGGAGGCAGCAGUAGGGAAUUUUCGGCAAUGGGGGAAACCCUGACCGAGCAACGCCGCGUGAAUGAAGACGUAUUUCGGUAUGUAAAGUUCUUUUAUUAGGGAAGAAUGGCUUAUGGAAAAGUAAGCGUGACGGUACCUAAUGAAUAAGCCCCGGCUAACUAUGUGCCAGCAGCCGCGGUAAUA